Molecule: ribosomal RNA, 490 nt
Filed under: uncultured bacterium
Lineage: Bacteria
Description: partial 16S ribosomal RNA
Rfam family: Bacterial small subunit ribosomal RNA
Source: RNAcentral
GAUGAACGCUAGCUACAGGCUUAACACAUGCAAGUCGCGGGGCAGCAUGGGGGUUGCUUGCAAUCCCCGAUGGCGACCGGCGCACGGGUGAGUAACGCGUAUCCAACCUGCCCUUCACCACGGGAUAACCCGGCGAAAGUCGGACUAAUACCGUAUGUUGUCCAUUGACGGCACCCGAUUUGGACGAAAGGUUUGGCGGUGAAGGAUGGGGAUGCGUCCGAUUAGCUGGACGGCGGGGUGACGGCCCACCGUGGCGCCGAUCGGGAGGGGUUCUGAGAGGAAGGUCCCCCACACUGGAACUGAGACACAGUCCAGACUCCUACGGGAGGCAGCAGUGAGGAAUAUUGGUCAAUGGGCGUAAGCCUGAACCAGCCAAGUAGCGUGCAGGAUGACGGCCCUAUGGGUUGUAAACUGCUUUUAUGCGGGGAUAAAGUGGCCCACGUGUGGGUUUUUGCAGGUACCGCAUGAAUAAGGACCGGCUAAUUCCGUG